GCAGUGACAUCUGGUACUACUACAAUUGCAUUGACAUCUGGUAGUACUACUACAAUUGCGCUGACAUCUGGUACUACUACAAUUGCAUCGUCAUCUGGUAC
Hydra vulgaris (swiftwater hydra) is the source of this 101-nucleotide long non-coding RNA. RefSeq lists it as uncharacterized. NCBI's taxonomy places the organism in Eukaryota, Metazoa, Cnidaria, Hydrozoa, Anthoathecata, Hydridae. The record is from RefSeq and is a predicted model, not a curated record.